Molecule: ribosomal RNA, 429 nt
Filed under: uncultured bacterium
Lineage: Bacteria
Description: bacterial SSU rRNA
Rfam family: Bacterial small subunit ribosomal RNA
Source: RNAcentral
UCGAGAAUAAUUCGCAAUGGGCUAAAGCCUGACGAUGCGACGCCGCGUGAAUGAUGAAGGCCUUCGGGUUGUAAAGUUCUGUCGCCUGGGAACAAGGAUGCGCUUCGAAUAGAUGCGCAUUUUGAGGGUACCAGGAAUGGAAGCACCGGCUAACUCCGUGCCAGCAGCUGCGGUAAUACGGAGGGUGCAAGCGUUAGUCGGAAUUACUGGGCGUAAAGGGUGCGUAGGCGGAAAUAUAAGUCAUAUGUGAAAUUCCAAGGCUCAACCUUGGAGCUGCAUCUGAAACUAUAUUUCUAGAGGGAUGGCGGAGAAAAUGGAAUUCCACGUGUAGCGGUGAAAUGCGUAGAUAUGUGGAAGAACACCUGUGGCGAAAGCGGUUUUCUAGCUUCCCCCUGACGCUGAGGCACGAAAGCAAGGGGAUCAAACAGG